UACGUAGGGUGCGAGCGUUAAUCGGAAUUACUGGGCGUAAAGGGCGCGUAGGCGGCCUGCUAAGUCGAACGUGAAAUCCCCGAGCUCAACUCGGGAACUGCGUCCGAUACUGGCAGGCUUGAAUCCGGGAGAGGGAUGCGGAAUUCCAGGUGUAGCGGUGAAAUGCGUAGAUAUCUGGAGGAACACCGGUGGCGAAGGCGGAUCUCUGGACCAGUUCUGACACUGAUGAGCGAAAGCCAGGGGAGCAAACAGG
RNAcentral lists this ribosomal RNA (253 nucleotides) under uncultured bacterium. RNAcentral describes it as "partial 16S ribosomal RNA". It matches the Rfam family "Bacterial small subunit ribosomal RNA", at positions 524 to 776 of the family's 1533-position model. The record is from RNAcentral.